GCUCAGUUGGUUGAAUGUAUAACUCUUGAUUUCGGCUCAGGUCAUGAUCCCAGGGUCAUAGGAUCAAACCCCAUAUUGGGCU
RNAcentral lists this transfer RNA (82 nucleotides) under Felis catus (domestic cat). It matches the Rfam family "tRNA". Rfam says of the family: Transfer RNA (tRNA) molecules are approximately 80 nucleotides in length. Their secondary structure includes four short double-helical elements and three loops (D, anti-codon, and T loops). Further hydrogen bonds mediate the characteristic L-shaped molecular structure. tRNAs have two regions of fundamental functional importance: the anti-codon, which is responsible for specific mRNA codon recognition, and the 3' end, to which the tRNAs corresponding amino acid is attached (by aminoacyl-tRNA synthetases). tRNAs cope with the degeneracy of the genetic code in two manners: having more than one tRNA (with a specific anti-codon) for a particular amino acid; and 'wobble' base-pairing, i.e. permitting non-standard base-pairing at the 3rd anti-codon position. The record is from Rfam by way of RNAcentral. Lineage: Eukaryota; Metazoa; Chordata; Mammalia; Carnivora; Felidae.